GUCACAUAGCAGUUUACUGGCAGAGCUGGGAACAGAUCUCAGGUCUCCAGAGUUCCAGCCUAGUACCACACCCACCAGAACAGAGUCUCCAUAAACUUCUAGAUCAACUAUAGUUCCAUAUUAUCUUCUUCCUCCUCCUCUCAGGCUUGUGACUGACAGGAGAGACCCCCAUCUUACUAUUCCAACUGCAAAAAAGGGCUUGUUUUCCUCAAACAUCCAAAGGGAAAAGAACUAGCAACCACAGAAGUUUCUGAAAGGCACUCCCAAUCAUGUGAAAACCUUUGAAGCAUAACCUGCAGCAAUAAGAAAAUAUUCCAAGAUUUAUUUACUCCAUGGUUUCAACAUUUGUAAUACAACAUUUGAGCUGUGUUGCUUAGUUGUGAAUCACCAUGUAAAUCAGACAAGAGGAGAUUCUGAGAGGUGCAGCCCAGGGCUAGAGGAGGUUGUGGUGACUGCAUGUCAGAAUGUGUCAUCAUGCUCCAGCUUUUCAUUGAUACUCCAAACACAAAAAUCAUCUCCAAAGGAAAAACUGCACAACCCAAGAAAGGAAC
This is a long non-coding RNA of Mauremys mutica (yellowpond turtle), 551 nucleotides long. RefSeq lists it as uncharacterized. The transcript has 5 exons. Lineage: Eukaryota; Metazoa; Chordata; Testudines; Geoemydidae. The record is from RefSeq and is a predicted model, not a curated record.